This 598-nucleotide ribosomal RNA is filed under the name uncultured Bacilli bacterium. Its description in RNAcentral is "bacterial SSU rRNA". It matches the Rfam family "Bacterial small subunit ribosomal RNA", at positions 153 to 739 of the family's 1533-position model. Lineage: Bacteria; Bacillati; Bacillota; Bacilli. The record is from RNAcentral.
GAAACGAUAGCUAAUACCGCAUAACAAUGGAUGACACAUGUCAUUUAUUUGAAAGGGGCAAUUGCUCCACUACAAGAUGGACCUGCGUUGUAUUAGCUAGUAGGUGAGGUAACGGCUCACCUAGGCGACGAUACAUAGCCGACCUGAGAGGGUGAUCGGCCACACUGGGACUGAGACACGGCCCAGACUCCUACGGGAGGCAGCAGUAGGGAAUCUUCGGCAAUGGGGGCAACCCUGACCGAGCAACGCCGCGUGAGUGAAGAAGGUUUUCGGAUCGUAAAGCUCUGUUGUAAGUCAAGAACGAGUGUGAGAGUGGAAAGUUCACACUGUGACGGUAGCUUACCAGAAAGGGACGGCUAACUACGUGCCAGCAGCCGCGGUAAUACGUAGGUCCCGAGCGUUGUCCGGAUUUAUUGGGCGUAAAGCGAGCGCAGGCGGUUUGAUAAGUCUGAAGUUAAAGGCUGUGGCUCAACCAUAGUUCGCUUUGGAAACUGUCAAACUUGAGUGCAGAAGGGGAGAGUGGAAUUCCAUGUGUAGCGGUGAAAUGCGUAGAUAUAUGGAGGAACACCGGUGGCGAAAGCGGCUCUCUGGUCUGUAA